RNAcentral lists this ribosomal RNA (1347 nucleotides) under Salmonella enterica subsp. enterica serovar Typhimurium. RNAcentral's name for it is "partial 23S ribosomal RNA". It matches the Rfam family "Bacterial large subunit ribosomal RNA", at positions 628 to 1874 of the family's 2925-position model. The record is from RNAcentral. Lineage: Bacteria; Pseudomonadati; Pseudomonadota; Gammaproteobacteria; Enterobacterales; Enterobacteriaceae.
UUAUAUUCUGUAGCAAGGUUAACCGUAUAGGGGAGCCGGAGGGAAACCGAGUCUUAAUUGGGCGUUAAGUUGCAGGGUAUAGACCCGAAACCCGGUGAUCUAGCCAUGGGCAGGUUGAAGGUUGGGUAACACUAACUGGAGGACCGAACCGACUAAUGUUGAAAAAUUAGCGGAUGACCUGUGGCUGGGGGUGAAAGGCCAAUCAAACCGGGAGAUAGCUGGUUCUCCCCGAAAGCUAUUUAGGUAGCGCCUCGUGAAUUCAUCUCCGGGGGUAGAGCACUGUUUCGGCUAGGGGGCCAUCCCGGCUUACCAACCCGAUGCAAACUGCGAAUACCGGAGAAUGUUAUCACGGGAGACACACGGCGGGUGCUAACGUCCGUCGUGAAGAGGGAAACAACCCAGACCGCCAGCUAAGGUCCCAAAGUCAUGGUUAAGUGGGAAACGAUGUGGGAAGGCCCAGACAGCCAGGAUGUUGGCUUAGAAGCAGCCAUCAUUUAAAGAAAGCGUAAUAGCUCACUGGUCGAGUCGGCCUGCGCGGAAGAUGUAACGGGGCUAAACCAUGCACCGAAGCUGCGGCAGCGAACGUAUCACCCAAGACAACUUUACGGAGUUGACGAUUGACGGAGCGAAGCGACGUCAAAGCGUUCAUUAAAGUCGAGUUGGCUUAGGGAUACGUUCGUUGGGUAGGGGAGCGUUCUGUAAGCCUGUGAAGGUGUGUCGUGAGGCAUGCUGGAGGUAUCAGAAGUGCGAAUGCUGACAUAAGUAACGAUAAAGCGGGUGAAAAGCCCGCUCGCCGGAAGACCAAGGGUUCCUGUCCAACGUUAAUCGGGGCAGGGUGAGUCGACCCCUAAGGCGAGGCCGAAAGGCGUAGUCGAUGGGAAACGGGUUAAUAUUCCCGUACUUGGUGUUACUGCGAAGGGGGGACGGAGAAGGCUAUGUUGGCCGGGCGACGGUUGUCCCGGUUUAAGCGUGUAGGUGUGUGUUCCAGGUAAAUCCGGUUCACUUUAACACUGAGGCGUGACGACGAGGCACUACGGUGCUGAAGCAACAAAUGCCCUGCUUCCAGGAAAAGCCUCUAAGCAUCAGGUAACACGAAAUCGUACCCCAAACCGACACAGGUGGUCAGGUAGAGAAUACCAAGGCGCUUGAGAGAACUCGGGUGAAGGAACUAGGCAAAAUGGUGCCGUAACUUCGGGAGAAGGCACGCUGACACGUAGGUGAAGUGAUUUACUCAUGGAGCUGAAGUCAGUCGAAGAUACCAGCUGGCUGCAACUGUUUAUUAAAAACACAGCACUGUGCAAACACGAAAGUGGACGUAUACGGUGUGACGCCUGCCCGGUGCCGGAA